AAUCAACGCUGGCGGCGUGCCUAACACAUGCAAGUCGAACGAGAAAGGAGACUUCGGUCUCUGAGUACAGUGGCGCACGGGUGAGUAACACGUGACUAACCUACCCUCGAGUGGGGAAUAACUUCGGGAAACCGAGGCUAAUACCGCAUAAUACCCACGGGUCAAAGGAGCAAUUCGCUUGAGGAGGGGGUCGCGGCCGAUUAGUUAGUUGGCGGGGUAAUGGCCCCACCCAAGACGGUGAUCGGUAUCCGGCCUGAGAGGGCGCACGGACACACUGGAACUGAAACACGGUCCAGACUCCUACGGGAGGCAGCAGUGGGGAAUUUUGCGCAAUGGGGGAAACCCUGACGCAGCAACGCCGCGUGGAGGAUGAAGUCUCUUGGGACGUAAACUCCUUUCGAUCGGGACGAUUAUGACGGUACCGGAAGAAGAAGCCCCGGCUAACUUCGUG
Molecule: ribosomal RNA, 451 nt
Filed under: uncultured bacterium
Lineage: Bacteria
Description: bacterial SSU rRNA
Rfam family: Bacterial small subunit ribosomal RNA
Source: RNAcentral